GGCCUGGUGGCGAAGUGGCUAACGCAGCGGUCUGCAAAACCGCGAUCCGCGGGUUCGACUCCCGCUCAGGCCUCCA
Molecule: transfer RNA, 76 nt
Filed under: Candidatus Uhrbacteria bacterium CG_4_10_14_0_2_um_filter_41_21
Lineage: Bacteria; Candidatus Uhriibacteriota
Also listed under: 4 other names
Description: tRNA-Cys
Rfam family: tRNA
About the family: Transfer RNA (tRNA) molecules are approximately 80 nucleotides in length. Their secondary structure includes four short double-helical elements and three loops (D, anti-codon, and T loops).
Source: RNAcentral